RNAcentral lists this long non-coding RNA (3885 nucleotides) under Nicotiana tabacum (common tobacco). Its description in RNAcentral is "long non-coding RNA (NTAB_LNC015341)". Lineage: Eukaryota; Viridiplantae; Streptophyta; Magnoliopsida; Solanales; Solanaceae. The record is from RNAcentral.
CAUUCAGUCCUUUUUAUUGCUUUUGAUUCAACACUCAAAUUUUGAUUUUUGAUCAAACCGUUCCCAAUAUCGACUAUCGGAUUUCAGGACUGACGACAUGGGAAAUUUCAAAGCAACUCGUUUACUAAAAGACUUGGAAGAAUUCUUGUGUCUCCCUAUCAUCAAAUCAUCCUGAGCAAGCCAUGUCCUAUUACUCAAAUCUGGUAAUGUCAACCUCACAUUUGCCUCUAUUUUUAUCACCAACUUGUCUACUUGCCUUUUCGUGACCUUAAUUAGAUCAACAAUAGUGGUUCUUGUUCCUUCGGUCGUGAAAAUGCUUUUAUUUCUGAGAGAUCCUGGACUCGCCAUUGCAAACCAGCAAACCGACCACCUUUAACUAGCUUUUAUUCCAAAACAACAAGCAUGUUAGAAUAAAUACUCUCUUUUCUUAUCUUUCUUUUUUUCAUUUUAGAUGAAUCGAUCGAACCUGAUGUGGGUUGCCUACAUAUCAUGUGGGAACAUAAAUUAGAUCUUUGCGUAGUUCGGGAAGAUCAGGAAUAAAGUAAAUAAACUAACUCUUUUUUUUGAAUUUUGAAUUUUUUUUUAAUUUUCAAAAGAAAGACUUAUAAAGAAGAAAGAAAAUAUUUUUGGAAUUUGAUUUGUUUGUUUUUUUUGUUGAUAAUUUUUGAAAAGAAAGACUUAUAGAGAAGAAAGAAAAUAUAUUUGAAUUUCGAUUUAUUUUUUUUUUCGGAAUUUCGAAAGAAAAACUUCUGAAGAAGAAAGAAAAUAUUUUUGAAUUUUUGAUUUUUUAUUUUGAAUUUAUGAAAGAAAGACUUUUAAAAAAAGAAAAUAUUUUUGAAUAAUUUUCUUUUCAAUUUUCGAAACAUAAACUUCUGAAAAAGAAUGGAAAUAUUUUUGGAUUUUGAGAAGAAAUUAAAAAAAAUUAUUUUUGGAUAUUUUUUAAAAAUUGGUGUCUCAAAUAAAGACUUUUCUAAAUAAAGAACUAAAGGAAAAUAUUUUUGAAUUUUUUGUUUUUUAAAAUUGUGAGCCGGAACCGAUGAGCUUUGCUUACGUAUCUUACAUCCGGUGAGAAUCAGACCCGCGUAGUUCGGUCAGUUUUUCAAGACCGGGGAAAAAUGUCAUUUUUGAAAAUUUGGACUCAUUUGUGACAACCUUCUAAAAAUUCGGCAGAGUUUCAGGAUCUUAUUUUCCUCUUUUUUUUCAAAUACCGGGAAAUUUAGGAACCGGGUCAAUUUUUUCUCUCAUGUGUUUCUUGAUUUUCUUUCCCUAUUCUAGAAUCAGUCAACAUGUAAAGCAGAACAAACAAAUGCAACAAGUAGCACGUAAGAAGUAUCAGGAUGGUCUUUUUAUAUUGGGGUACACCUGUCCUAGACGGAUACAACCCCCGUGUUGCGUCCCCAAAGUCAAAUGCACGUUAUGCAAACAAGCGUACCUAAUAGGGAUCUCACAUGAGGCUUUGUUCUUCUAAGUUUAAACCUUACUGUAUAGAGUUCUAGACAAGGCUUACCCGAGCGGACAACUCGAGCCGGGGGAAGGGGGUCAGCGUAUCGAGAAUACAGAAGCUUCACCGGCUUUGCAACUUGUCCGAUCCUCAUUCUAAAAUUAGGGGUAUGACUCUAACAUAAAAGAAGCCACGCGAAGCGCACGCUUCCCAGAAGAUUUAGAAGACUUAGAGAGAAGAAGGGUGUCGUAACAGUUUUAUAUACAGUUCACGACAAUAUCAAAGCGGUAAAGAGCGGCAUUUGCACAUUAGGCUCAAACACGUAAUAUCAGACAAUCACAAGAAAGCCAAGCAUAACAGUUAUUCUAAGCUCGAAUUCUGAACCAUGAACCAGAGAUUCUGGGUUCGAUCUCCAGUAGAGUCGUCAGAGCUGUCACACCUCCUUUGUCCGAAGAAUAGGGAGUUUUUUCAAUUAAAGUGACAUUGUUCAUAUGAGAUUAUUUAUUUAAUUAGAGUCGCCACUUGAAAUAUUUAUUAUGGUGUCCCAAAUCACCGGUUUAUUUUAAAAUCUCAAAUCAAGGAAAUUGACUCUAUUUAUGGUAUGCGAACACGGAAGAUCGGGUAAAGAAUUCUGUUAACUCGGGAGAAGAUGUGAGGCACUCCCGGAUUCCGUGGUUAUAACACGGUCACUUAACAAUUAAUACUUGGCUUAAUUAUCUGAAUUAUUACAUGUUUAUUAACUUUUUAUGUGUUAUCGCUUCUAUACCACUUUUGAUUAUUUAUUUAACUGCUUUUAGUAUUUAUGGAGUUAUUUUUGAACAAGUUACGAUAUCGUACACUUGUCAUUUUGGUACACAUUACAAACCGUGCCACGUAAAAUGCACCUGCUAUUUACAACAUGUUUAUUAUUAUUAUUUGAAGCUAUGGUCAAGUCGCGUGAAAUGCGCACUCGAAUUGGGGUUUACGUAUCGUGACUAUGCCACGUGAACCGCACCCAUAGUCACGACGAUUUAUUAUUUAAUCGCGCCGGAAGCAACUACGAUGUUCAUGAAUUAUUGUCCUAAGCUACUUUGAGAUUUGUUGUGAGGUCAUUGAUUAUGGAAUACAAUAUUGGAAGAGCAUGAUUUACAAAUUGUUUACACCAACUUCUUGAUGAACUUCUUGCUAAAAGGAAGACACAACUACUUCUGGAAAGCUUGGCAUUUUGUCUAUAAAAGAAAAUGGGCCAGCUGGAUGUACUUACUAAGAUUGGGUUACCUACAGCUCUUAUUAAUUGGGCCUGAUAUGGUUCAGCUUAAUAGAGUCCAAAAAUAAAAAUGAAAAUUUUCAAAUCCACUUUGUUUUUUUUUUAAAAUUUCAAAACCCAUCUGCCAAAUCUUCAUCCUCUAAGUCUAACUAAACCCAACUCAACAGAUUAUGUACCAAACUUAAACCAAUAUUUUUAACAUGUAAAUUAAUAAGUUUUCUAAUUAAACAAGAAACCAAUAAGAAAAACUCAACAACUAAUUUAAUGAAAACCAAGCAAACAGUAAGAUAAUCCAUCAUUGGUUAUUAACUUUAAUGGCCCAAUUUUAUUAUCUAACAAUCUUCCAAAGGGCAUGUUAAUGCUAAAUUAAUUAAUUUUCAGAUUUUUCAGUCAAUGCAAAUUACUAAAGUAAGCAAACAGCCCAAUAUCUGUCAUUAAAGCCAAUAAAUAAUUAACAUUAACAGUUGAAGAGAAAUUCCAUGAGCAACAUGUAAAUCCAUCCAAACAUGCAUUUGAAAGCUUAAACAAGUAGAAGCUAUUCAUUAACUAGAGAAACAAUCAAACAACAAAGCAUAUAGCAUUCAGUGGAUUAAAUAUUCAUUAUGUAAUUAAAAUGCACCUUUGAGAAUUUCCUUUCCAAAUUUGAUUCAAAACCUUCAGCAAUGUACAAAAUGAGGAGGAAACUUAAACCUGACACACGGCCAGAACCGGAAACGUGAACAAGACCUUGACCGGAAAACUUCUAACUCGAACGGACUUUUAGAAAACUUCACCCGAUCUAUUCCAUUUUUGGUUAAGAUGUGCUGGGUUUCGUGGAGGAAAAAUUGUUGGUUUCAAGGCGAUUUCAUGGCUGAUUUUGGUGUACAACUCGACUGAAAAUUGCAACUGCUACAUGACUUCAUUUUGGGGCUGGUUGGGGUGUUUUUGAGCCAGAAUUUGGGGUGAAGUUAGGGAUUGCUUUAACCUAGUUUCAAGCUAAAAUUUGUGGGAGUUCACUGAUUUGUUUUGUGAAGAAGCAGUGGAUUUUUGUUGCUGCUAUGAGGAAGAAGAAGCACUCAUUUUUUUCUUUUUUCGUUCCCCUCCCCCCUCCCCCUCCCGGUUGUGCAAGGAAUGUCCCUUAAUUGUGUGAUGAAUAUGUGAGCAGGUGAGUGGAAAUUUCUUGGGAGGAAUCUUUCUCUCUUUCCAAUGCACUUAAAAG